RNAcentral lists this unclassified non-coding RNA (279 nucleotides) under plant metagenome. Its description in RNAcentral is "partial contains small subunit ribosomal RNA, internal transcribed spacer 1, and 5.8S ribosomal RNA". The record is from RNAcentral.
UUUCCGUAGGUGAACCUGCGGAAGGAUCAUUAUUGUAUUACCGAGGUGCGAGGGCUGUCGCUGACCCGUAGGGUCGUGCACGCUCGAUUGCUCUCACACACACCUAUCUCACCCCUAUGUGCACCACGGCGCGGGUCCCCCUCUGGCAUGUCCGGAGGGGGGCUUACGUUUUCACACAAUCUUUGUAUGUUGUGUAUUUUGUAUUUUUUGUUUUUGCGUUCGGCCUCUCUAAACAACUUUCCACAACGGAUCUGUUGGCUCCCGCACCGCAGUAGAACG